Molecule: ribosomal RNA, 419 nt
Filed under: bacterium
Lineage: Bacteria
Also listed under: 1 other name
Description: partial 16S ribosomal RNA
Rfam family: Bacterial small subunit ribosomal RNA
Source: RNAcentral
UGGGGGAUAUUGCACAAUGGGCGCAAGCCUGAUGCAGCGACGCCGCGUGGGGGAUGAAGGCCUUCGGGUUGUAAACUUCUUUUGCUCUGAACAAGGCGCACCAUGGGGUGUGUUGAGUGUAGGGGUUGAUUAGCGCCGGCUAACUACGUGCCAGCAGCCGCGGUAAUACGUAGGGCGCGAGCGUUGUCCGGAAUUAUUGGGCGUAAAGGGCUUGUAGGUGGCUGGUUGCGUCUGUCGUGAAAGCUCAUGGCUUAACUGUGGGUUUGCGGUGGGUACGGGCUGGCUUGAGUGCAGUAGGGGAGGCUGGAAUUCCUGGUGUAGCGGUGGAAUGCGCAGAUAUCAGGAGGAAUACCGGUGGCGAAGGCGGGUCUCUGGGCUGUUACUGACACUGAGGAGCGAAAGCAUGGGGAGCGAACAGG